UGGGGAAUAUUGCACAAUGGGGGAAACCCUGAUGCAGCGACGCCGCGUGAACGAAGAAGGUAUUCGUAUCGUAAAGUUCUGUCCUAUGGGAAGAUAAUGACAGUACCAUAGAAGAAAGCUCCGGCUAAAUACGUGCCAGCAGCCGCGGUAAUACGUAUGGAGCGAGCGUUGUCCGGAAUUAUUGGGCGUAAAGGGUACGCAGGCGGUUUAAUAAGUCGAAUGUUAAAGAUCGGGGCUCAACCCCGUAAAGCAUUGGAAACUGAUAAACUUGAGUAGUAGAGAGGAAAGUGGAAUUCCUAGUGUAGUGGUGAAAUACGUAGAUAUUAGGAGGAAUACCAGUAGCGAAGGCGACUUUCUGGACACAAACUGACGCUGAGGUACGAAAGCGUGGGGAGCAAACAGG
This 403-nucleotide ribosomal RNA is filed under the name bacterium. RNAcentral's name for it is "partial 16S ribosomal RNA". It matches the Rfam family "Bacterial small subunit ribosomal RNA", at positions 355 to 776 of the family's 1533-position model. The record is from RNAcentral. RNAcentral also lists the same sequence under 1 other name.